CUUGGGGGAGUUAGGGCCAAAAUGUACCCUGCAAGUAGAACAGACUUACAUGACAAGAGAAACAGUUUCAACUAUUUCUUUAAAACACUGUUUCAUCUUGGAAUAUGCACUAUCCGAUACACUCAAUCUAAAAAAAAAGAACUUUAGAAAAUGAGCAUCCUUUCCCACUGACCCAAGCACCAAGCCUUUGCCGAAAGGUCUCUCAUUUCAAACAGUAACAGAAAGCUGCUGAUAGCUAUUCUUGGCCAGUGGCCUCUUUGGGGGUCAGGGUGGAUUUCACACUGGAAGGGAAACACAACUUAAAAGAAAUUCAGUUCCCUUUAGUUUGGUCCUAGCAAGAAUGGUUUUCUGAAACAUGUGCUCCCUGUGGGUGCUUCAGACAUCUGGGCUUUGGCUUCUAUGGCUAUGUCACAAUGCCGAGCUGUGUGGUCACACCAGGCUCUCCCUCUCAGGCACUGACAUCAGGGACACAUGAUCCCUGAUUGCAGGUCAGACCAAAGAGGUUAUGAAGCCACAAACGUGGGGAAAGCAGUAGGAACAUGGGAGGGCAGUGGCCAACUGAACUCGAAUCUGGACGGUGGUUCCUUUUCCCCCCAAAAGCACGUGCUUAACAAAGGAACAGUAGAAGCAGCCAGAAGCUUGGGACUGGACAGUUCACAGAGUUUGUGCUUCAACAGUAUGUUACAAAUGACUUGGUCAGCUUAAACUUCCAUCAAGUAUCGACUGAAACACUGUAAGACACAGGAGGAUAUGUGAGAGAAAACGUGGACCACGUCCCCCCCAGUAAGGGGUUGGGGGGAGCAGCAGAGCGGGCUGUCGGUUUAACAAGAGCAGAUCACAUUUUUCUGUCCUAUAGACAUAGGCAUGGACUGGCACACUGAUACAGUAUCCACUUUCUUCAUAAAGGGAUGAAGGCUGGAGACCAAGCCAUGGAUCUGAGGGGCAGAAGGUCAAAGCACGACCACGUGCUGGCAGCAGUCAGGAAGUAGGGGUUUAAAAAAAAUGCUCACCA
Non-coding RNA from Phascolarctos cinereus (koala), 1012 nucleotides. Lineage: Eukaryota; Metazoa; Chordata; Mammalia; Diprotodontia; Phascolarctidae. The record is from RefSeq and is a predicted model, not a curated record.